AUGGCAUCUCAAUCCUCUGGGUCCCAGUCCUGGCAUCUCAGGAGGGGACAGUCUCACCCAGGGAGGGGCCUCUCUGAGAGAAGGAAAGGCUCAAAGGAGGAUGGCUCACCUCAAAGAGGCUUUGCAGUUGCAGCCACAGCACAAAGGGGAAGGGCAGGUGCUGGCUCCACGCUCUCCCAUAGCACUGAGGGGAAGGGCAGGUGCUGGCUCCACGCUCUCCCACAGCACAGAGGGGAAGGGCAGGUGCUGGCUCCACGCUCUCCCACAGCACAGAGGGGAAGGGCAGGUGCUGGCCCUCCACGCUCUCCCAUAGCACUGAGGGGAAGGGACAGAUGCUGGCUCCACGCUCUCCCACAGCACAGAGGGGAAGGGACAGAUGCUGGCCCUCCACGCUCUCCCACAGCACAGAGGGGAAGGGCAGGUGCUGGCUCCACGCUCUCCCACAGCACAGAGGGGAAGGGGCAGGUGCUGGCCCUCCACGCUCUCCCACAGCACAGAGGGGAAGGGACAGAUGCUGGCCCUCCACGCUCUCCCACAGCACAGAGGGGAAGGGACAGAUGCUGGCCCUCCAUGCUCUCCCACAGCACAGAGGGGAAGGGACAGAUGCUGGCCCUCCACGCUCUCCCACAGCACAGAGGGGAAGGGACAGAUGCUGGCCCUCCAUGCUCUCCCACAGCACAGAGGGGAAGGGACAGAUGCUGGCCCUCCACGCUCUCCCACAGCACAGAGGGGAAGGGCAGGUGCUGGCUCCACGCUCUCCCACAGCACAGAGGGGAAGGGGCAGGUGCUGGCCCUCCAUGCUCUCCCACAGCACGGAGGAGAAGGGCAGGUGCUGGCCCUCCACACUCUCCCACAGCACAGAGGGGAAGGGACAGAUGCUGGCUCCACGCUCUCCCACAGCACAGAGGGGAAGGGACAGAUGCUGGCUCCACGCUCUCCCACAGCACAGAGGGGAAGGGACAGAUGCUGCAUCAGCCCGAAUCAGCACUGCCUCUCAUUCCAAAUCCUGAAAACCUGGUAUCAGGAAACAGGCCCACUUUAAAGAAGAGCAUUUUGUUCCUUUUUUCCUUUUUUUUUUUUUAA
RNAcentral lists this long non-coding RNA (1083 nucleotides) under Callithrix jacchus (white-tufted-ear marmoset). RNAcentral's name for it is "lncRNA (ENSCJAG00000083847.1)". Lineage: Eukaryota; Metazoa; Chordata; Mammalia; Primates; Cebidae. The record is from RNAcentral.